CAGAGUGUAGCUUAAAUAGAAUAGCAUCUCCCUUACACCGAGAAGAUUCCCGUGCAAAUCGGGCCACACUGAACACCCCC
Molecule: transfer RNA, 80 nt
Filed under: Oxuderces dentatus
Lineage: Eukaryota; Metazoa; Chordata; Actinopteri; Gobiiformes; Gobiidae
Description: tRNA-Val
Rfam family: tRNA
About the family: Transfer RNA (tRNA) molecules are approximately 80 nucleotides in length. Their secondary structure includes four short double-helical elements and three loops (D, anti-codon, and T loops). Further hydrogen bonds mediate the characteristic L-shaped molecular structure. tRNAs have two regions of fundamental functional importance: the anti-codon, which is responsible for specific mRNA codon recognition, and the 3' end, to which the tRNAs corresponding amino acid is attached (by aminoacyl-tRNA synthetases). tRNAs cope with the degeneracy of the genetic code in two manners: having more than one tRNA (with a specific anti-codon) for a particular amino acid; and 'wobble' base-pairing, i.e. permitting non-standard base-pairing at the 3rd anti-codon position.
Source: RNAcentral